RNAcentral lists this ribosomal RNA (1467 nucleotides) under uncultured bacterium. RNAcentral's name for it is "bacterial SSU rRNA". It matches the Rfam family "Bacterial small subunit ribosomal RNA". The record is from RNAcentral.
GAUGAACGUUGGCGGCGUGCCUAAGGUAUGCAAGUCGAACGAUCCUUUGGAUCUUUGAGACUUCGGUCGAUUAGAUCCUCUUUGGAUAGUGGCAAACGGGUGAGUAACGCGUUGGUAACCUGCCUCGAAGUCAGGAAUAGCCAUCCGAAAGGGUGAUUAAUACCUGAUAGUCCGCAAUUCCUGCUUGGUUUUGCGGUAAAGUUUCGGCGCUUCGAGAGGGGCCUGCGUCCUAUCAGCUUGUUGGUGAGGUAAUGGCUCACCAAGGCUAAGACGGGUAGCUGGUGUGAGAGCACGAUCAGCCACAAUGGAACUGAGACACGGUCCAUACUCCUACGGGAGGCAGCAAUUAGGAAUCAUGCGCAAUGGGGGCAACCCUGACGCUGCGACGCCGCGUGGAGGAUGAAGGUCUGCGGAUUGUAAACUCCUUUUAUGAGGGAAGAAUAAAUGACGGUACCUCAUGAAUAAGUGCCUGCUAACUACGUGCCAGAAGCAUCGGUGACGCGUAGGGCACAAACGUUAUCCGGAUUUACUGGGCGUAAAGAGAUGCGUAGGCGUCCCUUCAAGUCUUUUGUCAAAGCCCGAAGCUCAACUUCGGAGAGGCAUUGGAUACUGUUGGGAUUGAGUUAUGGAGAGGUGAGGGGAAUUCCCGGUGGAGUGGUGAAAUACGUUGAUAUCGGGAGGAACACCAGUGGCGAAGGCGCCUCACUGGCCAUAUACUGACGCUGAGGCUCGAAAGCGUGGGUAGCAAAACGGAUUAGAUACCCGUGUAGUCCACGCCGUAAACUAUGGAUGCUAGCUGUUGGGUACAACGAUCAUUUUCCUUCGGGAAUUUAAUUGGCGUAUUCAGUGGCGCAGCUAACGCGUUAAGCAUCCCGCGUGUGAAGUACGAUCGCAAGAUUAAAACACAAAUGAAUUGGCGGGGUCCCGCACAAGCAGAGGAGCGCGUGGUUUAAUUCGAUGGCAAUCGAAGAACCUUACCAGGGUUUGACAUGUACCUGCACGCCCCCAGAGACGGGGGAAGCCUUAGAGGGUGGUACACAGGUGCUGCAUGGCCGUCGUCAGCUCGUGUCGUGAGAUGUAGGGUUAAGUCCCGAAACGAGCGCAACCCCUAUCCCAUGUUACAAGUGUCUUGGGAAACUGCCUCGGUAAAACGGGGAGGAAGGUGGGGAUGAUGUCUGGUCCGCAUGGCCCUUAUGUCCUGGGCGACACACGCGCUACAAUGGUUAGUACAAUGGGCAGCCAAGCCGUAAGGCGGAGCUAAUCCCACAAAACUAACCUCAGUUCGAAUUGAGGUCUGAAACUCGACCUCAUGAAGUUGGAUUUGCUAGUAAUCGCGGAUCAGCCAUGCCGCGGUGAAUACGUUCUCGGGACUUGCACACACCGCCCGUCAAGGCAUGGAAGCGGGUAAUACCCGAAGGUGCUCUGUCUUCGGAUGGGGUAACUAAGGUAAUGCUCGUAACUAGGCCU